CGCCAGCAGCCGCGGUAAUACGGAGGAUGCAAGCGUUAUCCGGAUUCAUUGGGUUUAAAGGGUGCGUAGGCGGCUUUUUAAGUCAGUGGUGAAAUCCUGCCGCUUAACGGUAGAAUUGCCAUUGAUACUGAAAGGCUUGAGUUCAGUUGAGGUAAGCGGAAUGUGUAGUGUAGCGGUGAAAUGCUUAGAUAUUACACAGAACACCAAUUGCGAAGGCAGCUUACUAAACUGACACUGACGCUGAUGCACGAAAGCGUGGGGAGCGAACAGGAUUAGAUACCCUGGUAGUCCACGCCGUAAACGAUGUUCACUCGCUGUUUGCGAUACACAGCAAGCGGCCAAGCGAAAGCAUUAAGUGAACCACCUGGGGAGUACGAUCGCAAGGUUGAAACUCAAAGGAAUUGACGGGGGCCCGCACA
This 419-nucleotide ribosomal RNA is filed under the name uncultured bacterium. RNAcentral describes it as "bacterial SSU rRNA". It matches the Rfam family "Bacterial small subunit ribosomal RNA", at positions 506 to 927 of the family's 1533-position model. The record is from RNAcentral.